Paragonimus skrjabini miyazakii is the source of this 81-nucleotide non-coding RNA. NCBI's taxonomy places the organism in Eukaryota, Metazoa, Platyhelminthes, Trematoda, Plagiorchiida, Troglotrematidae. The record is from the annotation of a GenBank genome assembly.
GGCUUCGUAGCUCAGCUGAUAGAGCGCUUUGUGAAUUUGGGCAUGGUGUUUCUAUCGCCAGUUCGAAUCUAGCCGAAGUCC